Molecule: transfer RNA, 77 nt
Filed under: Bifidobacterium longum subsp. infantis 157F
Lineage: Bacteria; Bacillati; Actinomycetota; Actinomycetes; Bifidobacteriales; Bifidobacteriaceae
Description: tRNA-Leu
Rfam family: tRNA
About the family: Transfer RNA (tRNA) molecules are approximately 80 nucleotides in length. Their secondary structure includes four short double-helical elements and three loops (D, anti-codon, and T loops).
Source: RNAcentral
CGUGAGAUAUCUCAAUUGGUAGAGGACGCCGGCUCAAACCCGGUGCGUUGUGGGUUCGAUUCCCUCUCUCACGACUA